Molecule: long non-coding RNA, 684 nt
Organism: Gasterosteus aculeatus aculeatus (three-spined stickleback)
Lineage: Eukaryota; Metazoa; Chordata; Actinopteri; Perciformes; Gasterosteidae
Source: Ensembl
AAACAGAGUUCGGGCUUGUCGGUUUGAUACAGUCAAAGUCAGUGUUUUAGUAGUAGUAGUACAACUAGUAGUUGUAGUAGUAGUAGCAAAGACCUGUGGCAGAGAGAGGUCGCUCUGAGAUGUGGCAGCGCUUUUGAUUUCCUCUAACAAGGUGUGAAGGUGUGGACUCUGCUAUGAAUCAAGCUGAGGACCCAGAGGACGGAGUCCCUCCCUCUGAAGCCCCUCUGUGUGGGGAACAUGACAGCCAGACCAAAGCUCAGAGGACCCAUCAGAGACCAGAAGAAGAUCUAAGGAGACUUCUACAGGUCAGAGGACCGUCUGAAGAGCUUUGCAGUACUUUCAUUAGAAUUUGUAUUUUCGAUGCAGAGGUCUGCAGACGUUGUUUUUCUGACCCACAGUAAGAAGUAAAAACAGAUGAAACUGAUGACUAACUGUCACUCAACUAAUAAACUGUCCAUCGACAGUCUUCAGCAUCUGGUUUUCAUGAUGAUCAAUGACAGAAGCUGGAGGAAUUACAGUUUGUGUUCUACAUUCAGUCACAUCUUACUGUGUGCAAGCAGGCUGCUUUACUGGCUGUUCUUACCCACAAUCCUUUGCACAGCAGGUAUAUGAGCCAGAGGGUUCAACUAGUCUACAUGUAGAAGAAGACCAGGUGACAAAGAGGGACGUGCACGGGUCCUCUGG